This 303-nucleotide ribosomal RNA is filed under the name uncultured bacterium. Its description in RNAcentral is "partial 16S ribosomal RNA". It matches the Rfam family "Bacterial small subunit ribosomal RNA", at positions 507 to 807 of the family's 1533-position model. The record is from RNAcentral.
AGCAGUAGCCGCGGUAAUACAGAGGGUGCGAGCGUUAAUCGGAUUUACUGGGCGUAAAGCGUGCGUAGGCGGCUAAUUGAGUCGGAUGUGAAAUCCCCGAGCUUAACUUGGGAAUUGCAUUUGAUACUGGUUAGCUAGAGUGUGGGAGAGGAUGGUAGAAUUCCAGGUGUAGCGGUGAAAUGCGUAGAGAUCUGGAGGAAUACCGAUGGCGAAGGCAGCCAUCUGGCCUAACACUGACGCUGAGGUACGAAAGCAUGGGGAGCAAACAGGAUUAGAUACCCCGGUAGUCCCUGUCUCUUAUAC